Molecule: ribosomal RNA, 497 nt
Filed under: uncultured bacterium
Lineage: Bacteria
Description: partial 16S ribosomal RNA
Rfam family: Bacterial small subunit ribosomal RNA
Source: RNAcentral
GAUGAACGCUGGCGGCGUGCCUAAUACAUGCAAGUCGAGCGAACGGGCGAGAAGCUUGCUUCUCUGAUGUUAGCGGCGGACGGGUGAGUAACACGUGGAUAACCUACCUAUAAGACUGGGAUAACUUCGGGAAACCGGAGCUAAUACCGGAUAAUAUUUUGAACCGCAUGGUUCAAAAGUGAAAGACGGUCUUGCUGUCACUUAUAGAUGGAUCCGCGCUGCAUUAGCUAGUUGGUAAGGUAACGGCUUACCAAGGCAACGAUGCAUAGCCGACCUGAGAGGGUGAUCGGCCACACUGGAACUGAGACACGGUCCAGACUCCUACGGGAGGCAGCAGUAGGGAAUAUUCCGCAAUGGGCGAAAGCCUGACGGAGCAACGCCGCGUGAGUGAUGAAGGUCUUCGGAUCGUAAAACUCUGUUAUUAGGGAAGAACAUAUGUGUAAGUAACUGUGCACAUCUUGACGGUACCUAAUCAGAAAGCCACGGCUAACUACGUG